CGCUGGCGGCGUGCCUAAUACAUGCAAGUAGAACGCUGAAGACUUUAGCUUGCUAAAGUUGGAAGAGUUGCGAACGGGUGAGUAACGCGUAGGUAACCUGCCUACUAGCGGGGGAUAACUAUUGGAAACGAUAGCUAAUACCGCAUAACAGCAUUUAACACAUGUUAGAUGCUUGAAAGGAGCAAUUGCUUCACUAGUAGAUGGACCUGCGUUGUAUUAGCUAGUUGGUGAGGUAACGGCUCACCAAGGCGACGAUACAUAGCCGACCUGAGAGGGUGAUCGGCCACACUGGGACUGAGACACGGCCCAGACUCCUACGGGAGGCAGCAGUAGGGAAUCUUCGGCAAUGGGGGCAACCCUGACCGAGCAACGCCGCGUGAGUGAAGAAGGUUUUUCCGGAUCGUAAAGCUCUGUUGUAAGAGAAGAGCGUGUGUGAGAGUGGAAAGUUCACACAGUGACGGUAACUUACCAGAAAGGGACGGCUAACUACGUGCCAGCAGCUGC
Molecule: ribosomal RNA, 504 nt
Filed under: uncultured bacterium
Lineage: Bacteria
Description: bacterial SSU rRNA
Rfam family: Bacterial small subunit ribosomal RNA
Source: RNAcentral